Molecule: ribosomal RNA, 642 nt
Filed under: uncultured bacterium
Lineage: Bacteria
Description: bacterial SSU rRNA
Rfam family: Bacterial small subunit ribosomal RNA
Source: RNAcentral
AUGCAAGUCGAACGGUAACAGGCCGCUGUGAUCCCUUCGGGGUGAACUUGGCGCUGACGAGUGGCGGACGGGUGAGUAACGCUUGGGAAUCUGCCCAGUAGUGGGGGACAACCCGGGGAAACUCGGGCUAAUACCGCAUACGUCCUACGGGAGAAAGGGGGCCUCUUCUUGAAAGCUCUCGCUAUUGGAUGAGCCCAAGUCGGAUUAGCUUGUUGGUGAGGUAAAGGCUCACCAAGGCGACGAUCCGUAGCUGGUCUGAGAGGACGAUCAGCCACACUGGGACUGAGACACGGCCCAGACUCCUACGGGAGGCAGCAGUGGGGAAUAUUGGACAAUGGGGGCAACCCUGAUCCAGCAAUGCCGCGUGUGUGAAGAAGGCCUGCGGGUUGUAAAGCACUUUCAGUAGAGAAGAAAAGCCUGAGGUUAAUACCCUCGAGUCCUGACGUAACCUACAGAAGAAGCACCGGCUAACUCCGUGCCAGCAGCCGCGGUAAUACGGAGGGUGCGAGCGUUAAUCGGAAUUACUGGGCGUAAAGCGCGCGUAGGCGGCUGGGUCAGUCGGAUGUGAAAGCCCCGGGCUUAACUUGGGAAUUGCAUUCGAAACUGCCUGGCUAGAGUAUGGGAGAGGGAAGUGGAAUUUCC